GAUGAACGCUGGCGGCGUGCCUAAUACAUGCAAGUCGAGCGCUGAAGGUUGGUACUUGUACCGAUUGGAUGAGCAGCGGACGGGUGAGUAACGCGUGGGUAACCUGCCUUUGAGAGGGGGAUAACAUCUGGAAACGAAUGCUAAUACCGCAUAAAAACUUUAAACACAAGUUUCAAGAUUGAAAGAUGCAAUUGCUUCACCCAAAGCUGAUCCCCCGUUGUCUUAGCUAGUUGGUGAGGUAAACGCCUACCCAGGCGAUGUUACCGAGCCCAGCCUGGAGGGGGAGCGGCCACAAUUGGACUUGGACACGGCCCCAACCCCUACGGGGGGGAGCAGGAGGGAAACUUUGGGAAAGGACGAAAGGCUGACCGAGCAACGCCGCGGGAGGGAAGAAAGGUUUCGGGUCGUAAAACUCCGUUGAUAGGGAAAAACGUUGGUGAGAGUUAAAAGCUCAUCAAGUGACGGUAACUACUCAGAAAGGGACGGCUAACUACGUG
This 497-nucleotide ribosomal RNA is filed under the name uncultured bacterium. RNAcentral describes it as "partial 16S ribosomal RNA". It matches the Rfam family "Bacterial small subunit ribosomal RNA", at positions 28 to 507 of the family's 1533-position model. The record is from RNAcentral.